AAGGUGCUCCGCCCUUCCACUCCCCGCCCCGUGCUGCUGUCAUUCCCACGCCUCACCCUGUUUUGCAACUUCUUGUUUAUGAGCCUGGAAGCCACGAAGUGGUGGGAAAUACGAGAUUCAAAUAUCUGGUGGCCGUGUGACGUGAGUAAAUUACUCGAUUUUUCUCAGUUUCCAUUUCCUAUCAAAUGGGUUGUUCUGGGAAUUCGGGGAAGUAACAGUGCCGGGAACCGCGGGAGGAACCGCCAGCUGCGUCCUCGGACGUCCCCAAAGCCCAGGGCGGCGACUGGCACGACUGUCAGGGGCGCGUCUGUUAAGAGGACAGGGGGUCCCGCCCCGGCACAGCCGUCUCCUCCAGGACCCCUCCCGCCGACGCCCCACGGACCCCACGCCCGAGCGGAGACCGGCGCGAGUCCGGGGUCUCCGGUCCGGCAGCCCCUCCCUGGCCCGGCGCCCCAAAGGGAAGCGGCCUGGGGGAGGAGACGUGUGGAAAGAGCGGCAGAAGAUAAAGAGGAAGUAGCGGUAGAGAAUAAAAAGGAACUGUCCGCAGUGUGCCCGGACGCGGGGAGGCGCUGGGGUCAAGCGAGACCCGACCUGCACGCAAUUCCCGCCGGGGUCCCGGCCUGCCUGCGGGAGGGAAAGGACCCAGGGCGGCUUCUGCCAAAAGUGCGGCUUCUGCCGAAAGUGCGUCUUCUGCCGAGGGGCCCACAUAAGGCGCGACAGACACUCCAGCCCGACCCCGACGCCCCGCCCUCACGCAUGCACAUGCGCGGAACACUCCCAGAAACACAUCUCCCAGAGCGCCCCGGGAGCACGCGAGCCAAUUGGAGGGCGGAUUAGCGGGGGCCCACGUCUCCCAGAGGUCUCCGAGUCGCGGCUCUGUUGGUCUGAUUGGCAGCCGCAACAGCCUAUAGCUGCUUUUCGCCGGAGGGGCCACGCGCCGUUUGCCGGGACUGAGCCGCUGUUGUCGCUGGUAUCCCGGGAGCAGCGCCGGCAAGUGGAGUCGUCGUAUUCCGGGCGGCCCGCGGCCCACGGGGAUGGGACGUCCCGGGGCUGUGCUGACCCCAAAACCCUUCCACACUUUAUUAGCCUGUCGCCCUUCUUUCAUGUUUACAGCAAAUAUUUUCCGAGUGCCUAAUGUGUCCCACUUACUGUGCCACGUGCGAGGGUGCACGUGUCAGGCAAGAUCGCUGUUCCAAGGAGGCUGAGAACAAGUAAAUGGUAAUUACCAGUUAUGACCAAAGCUGUGAAAGGAACAGAUACAUCAGCCUAACAGCAGCACUGCCGUUUUCUCCCUUAUAAUCAGCAGAGGCGGGCUAGAGCAAGGAUUCUCAAACUCUGCCCCCUCAGAACCCUAGAGUACGGUUGCUGAAACUUCUGUUUUUUCCUUUUGAACAAAUCUAGUAACAUGCUGUGAGCCAGAGAGGUAAUGGUUUGGCUCAAAGAAGGCACAUGCAUCUGGUUUCUUUCUUCUUUUUUGAGACGGAGUCUCGCUCUGUCGUCCAGGCUGGAGUGCAGUGGCGCCAUCUCCGCUCACUGCAAGCUCCGCCUCGCGAGUUCACGCCAGUCUCCUGCCUCAGCCUUCCGAGUAGCUGGGAUUACAGGCGCCCGCCACCACGCCCGGCUAAUUUUCACGCCCGGCUAAUUUUUUGUAUUUUUAGUAGAGACGGGGUUUCACCAUGUUAGCCAGGAUGGUCUCGCUCUCCUGACCUCGUGAUCCGCCCGCUUCGGCCUCCCAAAGUGCUGGGAUUACAGGCGUGAGCCACCGCGCCCGGCCCAGGUUUCUUAUUUCAGGAGCUUCAUAGGCAUAGACCUCCCUCCUUCCCUCCUACCCCCUCCCCCCUCUCCCAACUAAUGCCAGACCGGCCACUACUUUUUAACUGUUUUACAUAUUUAACCUUCAAGAAAGAUUUCCUUUGAUCCAAGUGUAUUGCAGCCCACAAAAAAGCUUGGAAACCCAGCUAGAUGGUCUGUUUUUCUAGUUCCUACAUUGGAUUUAAGUCCUACCCAUCGAGACUACUGUCUUCAGAGGGCAUCUUCAUGUGUGGGCACCAGGGCUGCGGCUGGAACCACAGUGGACACCCCACGCUCCAAGGACAAUCCUCUGCAGAAACCAGCAGCUGGAAACAAUUCUUAAUGCUGCAGGAAGUAGUUAGGAGAAAACGACUGUGUAAGUCAGAGCUAAAACUGGAGUUCAAAAACCACAGAAAAUAUUUCCAAGGCUGUCUGUGAAGUGGGGAUGUCAAAAUACCAAAAAUUACAGCUUUGGAACUGCAGUGGAUGACCUUUAAUUGAUGCAGUUUAUAGGUGCUAAGUAUUGUGUGUGCUUUACGUUGCCUCAUGUGAGUGCUUCAUAGCAGGGUGUGACGCUGGCCAAGUGAUAUACCUACCCUCUUUGUCCCUGUUUCUAUCAACUGUAAAAUGGGGGUUCUAGAGUUGUUGUGAAGAUUAAAUGAGCUAAUACACACAAA
Long non-coding RNA from Homo sapiens (human), 2468 nucleotides. Ensembl annotates it as long intergenic non-protein coding RNA 921. The record is from Ensembl. Lineage: Eukaryota; Metazoa; Chordata; Mammalia; Primates; Hominidae.